Molecule: unclassified non-coding RNA, 297 nt
Organism: Callithrix jacchus (white-tufted-ear marmoset)
Lineage: Eukaryota; Metazoa; Chordata; Mammalia; Primates; Cebidae
Rfam family: Metazoan signal recognition particle RNA
About the family: The signal recognition particle (SRP) is a universally conserved ribonucleoprotein. It is involved in the co-translational targeting of proteins to membranes.
Source: Ensembl
GCCUGGCACAGUGGCCAGUGCCUGUAGUCCUAGCUUCUCAGGAGGCUGAGGCUGGAGAAUCCCUUGAGUUCAGGAGUUCUGGGCUGUAGUGCGCUAUACCAAUCGGGCCGCAUUAAGUUUGGCAUCAAUAUGGUGACGUCCCGGGAGUGGGCGACCACCAGGUUGCCUAAGGAGUGGUGAACCAGCCAAGGUCAGAAAUGGAGCAGGUUAAAACUCCCGUGCUGAUCAGUAGUGGGAUUGCACCCAUGAAUAGCCACUGCACUCCAGCCUGGGCAACAUAGUCAGACCCUGCCUCUU